RNAcentral lists this long non-coding RNA (953 nucleotides) under Physcomitrium patens. RNAcentral's name for it is "long non-coding RNA (PPAT_LNC013691)". The record is from RNAcentral. Lineage: Eukaryota; Viridiplantae; Streptophyta; Bryopsida; Funariales; Funariaceae.
UGGAGUGACCCAGUGGAAGAUACUGGAAAAAAAAUACUUGGGCACCCUACUCAAGAGGCCCUUUGACUGAAACCCAUAGAAGCUAAAAACCACACAGUUUGCUUUGUUCUUUACCAAAUUAGGGCAAGUCUCUUUGUCACAAAGUAAGGAGGAUGAUGCUCAACAAGUGGGGUUGUGGAUGGAUGAAAUUAUGACAUCUCCCUCAUAUGACAAUGUCAUCCAUCGUGGAUGAAACCUGGCGUCACUUUGAUUUCACAAAAAAGGUAGAACUCGAGAUCCUUAAAAUAAAAUAUUUAAUUUGCUGACGUGUCAACUACAGUUGGGUUGCAUGUUCCUGUUCUCCGGGCAGGACUCGGUCCACUGGGUUGGAAGGCGGGCAGCUCCUUCUCCUUUUGCUUUAUUUUUUAUUUGUUUCAAAUUUUGCCAAUAUGGGUUUUCCCCCUAAACUUGAGGCGAGCAUUAUCGCUUACAAAGAGGAUUCUACAGCGAGCUUGCUUAAUAUAAGAAGGGUUAAUUAGAGGGUGGGCUGGAUUAAUGAGGAGAGGUGCAACCUAUGCACAGAGAUUGUGAGCAUGAAUUUUCCAAAAUGCCGAGUCUGAGAAACGACCAGGUCUUCAAUUUGCCCCGCUUAGGACCAACAUGAUCUGGUUUAUUUUUAUUUUUUAUUUUUAUUUUUUUACAAUUACUAUGCCUGUAUGAUUCCCACCUGGUGAAUUGGGUCCCAACGUUUCUUACUCCAUCCCCACCCCCUACUUUAAUUUCACCUUAUGAGAAAUGAUGGCUGAUUAUUGUUUCUUUCAAAAUCUCUCCUGGGACAUUCAUACACCCCAGAACAUAAUCCCACAAAAAUCAAAAAUUAAAUAAAGCAUUGUGUGAUGUGUUCCCACACUUUAAAUAUGAACUUGAGAGUAACCUAUAUAAUCAUUGUAUGUUCCAGCCUUUUCUAUUGUACC